RNAcentral lists this ribosomal RNA (253 nucleotides) under uncultured bacterium. RNAcentral describes it as "partial 16S ribosomal RNA". It matches the Rfam family "Bacterial small subunit ribosomal RNA", at positions 524 to 776 of the family's 1533-position model. The record is from RNAcentral.
UACAGAGGUCCCGAGCGUUGUUCGGAUUCACUGGGCGUAAAGGGUGCGUAGGCGGCGCAGUAAGUUGGGUGUGAAAUCCCUCGGCUUAACCGAGGAAUUGCGCCCAAAACUACUGUGCUCGAGGGAGGUAGAGGUGAGCGGAACUUAGGGUGGAGCGGUGAAAUGCGUUGAUAUCCUAAGGAACACCGGUGGCGAAAGCGGCUCACUGGACCUCUCCUGACGCUGAGGCACGAAAGCUAGGGGAGCAAACGGG